This is a long non-coding RNA of Alligator mississippiensis (American alligator), 3885 nucleotides long. RefSeq lists it as uncharacterized. The transcript has 3 exons. Lineage: Eukaryota; Metazoa; Chordata; Crocodylia; Alligatoridae. The record is from RefSeq and is a predicted model, not a curated record.
UUAUUUUCUGCAUAAGAGAACUUUUACAAUCUUUGGUUUCUCCUCAGCCUGAUGAAGCGUUCACAUGCCCAAAACCUUGCAAAGAAAGAUUUUCUUCUGCUACUUUUUAGUUGGUCUAAUAAAAGAUAUCACCUCUGAACCAAGAAUUUUGUGUUUCUCUAGAGAUCAAAAUGAUUUUAUUUGCAUUCACAAAAUAUUAUGGCCAUAAACUUGCAACAGAAGGCCUUAGCUGGAACAGAGACUAUUAGAGUCAGCUGACAGCAAACUAUCACUUGUUGAGGAUUUUGACCUAUGUAAUUGUACUAUAUAUAUACUUUGGUUAAUCUAUAAGGUGCAGAUCUACCCUCUGUCUCCUACUGGGCACAUCCACACAAUCAUCAAUACACAGUAGUUACUACACAUUAAGCCAAGUACUAAAUCUAUGCGCAGUAACUCGCGCUACUGCUCAGUAGUGCUGGCACAUGGGUUUUUAGCAAGGCUUAUUGCACAGUAGCUUAAUACUACUGAGCAGUAGCAUAUUAAUACAGUUUUUGCCUGUCACACUACUGCACAGUGUUUUUAGACUACUGCACAGUUAGUGUCUUGUGUAGAUGUACCUUCUGUGACUAAGGCAAUGGCAGCAAUUAAUAAAGUUCUUUUACUACAUUUAUGACUCAACAUUGGGUUUUCAAAUAUCAUAUGCUUUAACUCAAGUGUAAAGAAUUUGCAGAGGCCCAAACCACAUUCUUUGUAUGAAAUUAUUUGAGGAUUAAACUGAGGAUUGUUUCCAAAGCAUAAGAAAUCUGCCUUCUUUUCCAGUUUUGUUAUCUGCAAAAGGCAAACGUGGAAAAAAACAAUGUCACUUCAAUAUUCAGAUUCUGCUUAGGGAUUCCACCAAAUCCAAACUGGAUUAUCAGGUUUGAGGCUCCAACUUUGGUAGCUUGGGUCUGAAACAGCACAAAUGACACAAGUUAAUAGAGUAAAAUUAAUGUCAUUUCAUGGUGAUCUUAAGCACUGGCUAAUGCUUGCUGCACCUGCAGGGUUAUGCAGAUGGUGCAUACUUAAUUACUAUGCACCCCACUGGCUUUCAAUUUACUAAUAAAACCUCUCAGCUGAGCAUAUAAUAGAGCACUGUGUGUUAAUUCUGGCUGAUCUGGGGCCAUGGAAACUGUGCUCUCUCCUCUCAAAUAUACUACUAUUGAUUGCCCUCAAAAACCAAAUGCAGAGGCUUUAGCUUACUUCUUAGUAGGAACCAAAUCCAAGUUUGGAUGUGAAGCUUGCCUCUACACACACACACACGCAUGUGCACACACACACACGAUCUGCAAAAGUUGGCUUCAGGUUCCACUUUUUGAAGUUCUCCACAGUGCAAUGGCAUUUGCCAUUGGUUGGGACCAGUUUUCAGAGGAGGACUAACUACAUCAAAGAGUGAUUUAUUUUCAAUAUCAUUUUAGAAGCAAUAUAAUAAAGAAAGACAUAUUACUGAGGGCACCAGGCACUGCUGUAAACACAAGGCUGUGUAAUAUACCUCAACCAGCCAAAUGUAGCCAGUGAAGUUCUACAUAAUUUAUUUGAUGGUAUUUAAGGGGUAAUUUUUUUUUAGUAAUUUAGCCUUCCCACCUAACACUUUCUAAAGGUAUUUCCCACUGAAAAACAAUUGGAGUCAGCUGCCUAAGUAGCAUUAAAAAUUUGAUCCUUGGACAUGUUCAAAAAAGGUACCAAAAGACUCCCACAUAGCAUGCAAAACUCUUCUAAUUCCCUAAUGCAGAAUAAGUUAAAGUUUACCAAGAGUAUUUACUUAACUGGGCUUGCCCUUCUGAUGGUAUUCUAAAGAAUGAAAAGUUGAAAGUAUAUUAAGUAUGACAAGUACUAAUAUCAACAAUCAUUGUACAGAGCCAUGUAUUAGAUAACAAAAGCGUGGUAAUUAGAAGUAAAUGAAGCAAUCAUCCGGCAUUCUACAUACUGUCUUUGAUAAAAUAAUAUAUUUGGGUUGAGGGAGAGAGAAAGAGUUGGCUACAAGAUCUGGAUUAUACCAUUUUUCUUUCAGAAAGUGGCAUGGAUUCUUUAAAAUCUUCUAAGACUUGUCCAGAGUUAAUUUUCUGUUUUUGAAAAAAUACUAUUUCAUUCCACUUCAGAAAAGGAGCCCCUCAUGACUGCACAAUACAGUGCCUUCAUCUGGGUCAAGAUGCUUUGUAUUUGUGAUGUCCCUAGAAAUCAUAGAAGUGAGUGGAGGUACACACUUGGAAGAAUAGAGCUGUGAGUCAGGUCUAAUAUUUCUUAGUUACUAUAAAAGCUGGUGAAAUAAAGAGCCAGAUAGAUUCAGUAUAAAAUAGAUCAUUUAAUCCGUUGUCACGUCUUCUGUUCUGUGAAACUGUGAGGAUCAAAUGGGGAAAACAAGCUUAUUUAUGUUAUCAAUUCUGGCAUGCAUUGCUAUGUCAUACCUGCACACGUAUAUACAUAUUUCAGCCAACAUUUUGUAUUUAUGUCAAUCUGCUUUUGUAAAGCAAUAAUCUGGCACUUAAACAGCAUAUGAUUCUUUAAGGGAUCACAAGCACAGGGACCUAUACACACUCUUCCCAAUUACACAAAGUAGAUGAUGCGUGUUAUAACAUUUGUGAGGCUUUUGCACGUUUUGUACAAACUACUCUAGAGCAAGGUGGUAAAACAUCUGUUGUUUCAAAGAGACAGAACAUGUUCAGUAGCUAAUGCAUAGGAAUAUAGGCAUGUCUAUAUUGAUUAGAUAGGGCUGACCAACUAGUGGCCAGCAAGCCACAUACAGUCCUUAAGGCUUAAAAAAGAAGUUACACAUAAACCAGUUUAAGUUUAUGUGUAAUAUAAGGCUGUUUGGGCCUUACUGCAUGGGACACGUAUUACACGUAAAAUGUGUGCAAUGUUCCGCGGUAUUAAAAUUUGAGCUACUGCAUGGAACAGUCACACAGUAAUGUUUACAAUGAACCCCACAUGCACAACUUGUGUUCUGUCACUAGAGGGCCAUUGAGCAGGCCUCCCAGCACGCUGAAACUGACUUUUCUGCCUAUAUCCAACAGCAGCUGAAAACAGGCGGAAGUGGACAAAGCACCAAUGAAUGGACCAUCUCGCUUAGGUCGGCAGUGUUUAAACACACAUCCCGUGGUGUUUAAAUCUUCCCGGAUCCACCCCUCACUCCUGGAGCAAUGUUUUUCCCGCCGACACUGUGAGAAGUCUUUGGAUGAUACUGGUCCCGAUUCCAAUUCACUCCAGGCUUUGCACCAUUGGAACUCCAUGGGCGGCAGUGUACUUACUCUUGGGUGCAUCUACACAUUAGGGUGUGUGAAAUGGGCUGUAUUCAAUUUGGAUUCGGCCUGAAUUGCAGACAGUGUUUUGAUUUGUUGAUUGGAUCACUGUCUUGAUUUGAUUCGGCUGAAUCUGAAUCUGAAGAUUUGACGUCGAUUUGAAGAAUAAGCCAUUCGGCCAUAGACACAGCUUUAAAUGUUUUUUCUACAUACUUCGAGGUAGCAGGCAUGGCUUGUGAACGCUAUGAUGCUAGGGUGGAUAGAAUGUCCCACAGGAGCGUGGGGAGCCCCCCAGCAUGCUUGGCAGUGAACCCAGAAGUGGACUGGAAGUACUUCUGGUUCACUUCUGGAUCUGCCACUGAGCAUGCAGGGGAACCCCCUCCUGCCCCCCCAGAUUGGUGAUUGGCCAUGGCGGGGCCCAGACCCAGGAGGCACCAGUCACUAAGCCGGGCGGUGGGGGGGGGGGUCCCCCACCCGCUCCCUGGCAGACCUGGAAGUGGACCAGAAGUGCUUCUUGUCCACUUCUGGGUCUGCUGCCAAGUGUGCCGGGGACCCCCCUUGCAUUCCUGUGGCACAUUCCAUCUCAGCAUUCACGAGCUGCCUGGUACCUUGAGGUAUGUAGAAAAAAUAUUUA